ACUUAUCGGUAUGAUCACGUCGUCUGCUAGUUGUUGUCCAUGGCUGAUAGAAGUGGUCGCGCGAUUAAUUUUUGUUUAACUGAUUCCAGGUUACAACAGUAGUUGGAGCUGCUACCAACUCACCUCACCUCAGUUUCAGUUGGUUGUAACAACAAAUGUUACUGCCUGGCUGGUUGUUUGGUUGCCGGUGCUAGCUCGCUCGCUUGCUUUGGUCAUUGUGGUCGGCCACUGUAACAGCAGUGACGUUGUUGUUGUUAUUGUGGCUAUUUCACUGCUGAUAUGAGUGCUGCCAAUUUUAUUAUAAUGCGCCCUGAGUCAGAGUCGGCAUCGUCAUCCAACAUCUUAUCGGCGUGUGGUGGAUAUACCUAUUUUCAAACGAACUGCCUAUACAACAGAGCUACAUACAGAUGUACACUUAUCCAUCUAUCAGAGAGUAUAAGUAUUUGCCUCAUAUAAAUAUGUUGAAAACCUCAAAGUUUGCCAAGGAUGAUGAGCGAACGUGGGGCAUACAGACGGAUAGUCAUACAGUUGGAUGGAUGGAUGGUUGGUUGGUUGGACUGUAUGCCCAUCAAAUGUGUCUAACCGCAAAUGCGAUUUAUCACAUUUGGCUGGCUAGUUGCCGUUUCUUCCGUCUCUUCUUCCACUUCACUUCCCUCAGUGUUCUACCAUGAAAAAUGUAUGCAAUAAAUAAAAGCCA
Musca domestica (house fly) is the source of this 697-nucleotide long non-coding RNA. RefSeq lists it as uncharacterized. The record is from RefSeq and is a predicted model, not a curated record. The transcript has 3 exons. NCBI's taxonomy places the organism in Eukaryota, Metazoa, Arthropoda, Insecta, Diptera, Muscidae.